CUGGAGGUGAACCUUUAAGGACCAAAAUUUAGUCGCCAAAAGUUUUACCUCCAGCCUGCGCGAAAUAUUGGACUCGUGCCAACUUGGUAUUACUUUUCCGCAACCAAAUAUGCAUUUAGUCGGUGUAGGAUAAUUAUUCAGUAACUAACAAGAAUGUUGGUCGCAGAUAGCCUUAUUUUCAGCGACCAAACUUUAGUUGCCAAACAUUUUACCUCCACCCCGCCAACUUGAUUUUGAUUUUCUGCGACCAA
RNAcentral lists this long non-coding RNA (251 nucleotides) under Phoenix dactylifera (date palm). RNAcentral describes it as "long non-coding RNA (PDAC_LNC013869)". Lineage: Eukaryota; Viridiplantae; Streptophyta; Magnoliopsida; Arecales; Arecaceae. The record is from RNAcentral.